Molecule: small nucleolar RNA, 107 nt
Filed under: Gossypium hirsutum (cotton)
Lineage: Eukaryota; Viridiplantae; Streptophyta; Magnoliopsida; Malvales; Malvaceae
Description: Plant small nucleolar RNA R71
Rfam family: Plant small nucleolar RNA R71
About the family: R71 is a member of the C/D box family of snoRNAs containing the C (UGAUGA) and D (CUGA) box motifs.
Source: Rfam by way of RNAcentral
AAACCAUGCAUUGGACAUUUCUUAAGUCAUUCCUUGAAUCACUCCCAAGCUUCAUAUAACAUCUCAUCCUCUGAUUAACGAAAAGAUGUGAUAUCAUUCCUUAACUU